GACGAACGCUGGCGGCGUGCUUAACACAUGCAAGUCGAACGGAAAGGCCCUGCUUUUGUGGGGUGCUCGGGUGGCGAACGGGUGAGUAACACGUGAGUAACCUGCCCUUGACUUUGGGAUAACUUCAGGAAACUGGGGCUAAUACCGGAUAGGAGCUCCUGCUGCAUGGUGGGGGUUGGAAAGGUUCGGCGGUUGGGGAUGGACUCGCGGCUUAUCAGCUUGUUGGUGGGGUAGUGGCUUACCAAGGCUUUGACGGGUAGCCGGCCUGAGAGGGUGAGCGGCCACAUUGGGACUGAGAUACGGCCCAGACGCCUACGGGAGGCAGCAGUGGGGAAUAGUGCGCUAUGGGCGGAAGGCGUAUGCAGCGACGCCGCGUGCGGGAUGACGGCCUUCGGGUUGUAAACCGCUUUCGCCUGUGACGAAGCGUGAGUGACGGUAAUGGGUAAAGAAGCACCGGCUAACUACGUG
RNAcentral lists this ribosomal RNA (468 nucleotides) under uncultured bacterium. Its description in RNAcentral is "partial 16S ribosomal RNA". It matches the Rfam family "Bacterial small subunit ribosomal RNA", at positions 28 to 507 of the family's 1533-position model. The record is from RNAcentral.